RNAcentral lists this long non-coding RNA (661 nucleotides) under Carica papaya (papaya). RNAcentral's name for it is "long non-coding RNA (CPAP_LNC014308)". The record is from RNAcentral. Lineage: Eukaryota; Viridiplantae; Streptophyta; Magnoliopsida; Brassicales; Caricaceae.
UAAGCUUGUGAUAACAAACCAAUCACCUCCUAAUCCCUCUUACUCUACCAUCAACCUUAAUUUCCUUAAUACAAUUCCUCCUCCUACUUCCAUCAACCACCUAUCAAAAGAAUCUAGUACUGACAUGUCCUUCCUGAACCAACUACGAGUUUCUAAAGCAGAAAAACAUUAAGAAAAAAGGGUUUUUAGAUUACACUCUUAACAAGAGAAGUGUAAGGAAUCUGCUUUCGCCCAACAAAAGCACUCGGGUUGUGAGAGAUAAUCUCAUUGAGCUCCUUAGUCAACCCAAGAAAAAGAACUUUUUAGCAAUCUUAUAAAAGCUCGUGAUUAGACUGACAAGUAUUUAAUCAGAAAUCUGUGAGAAACAGUCUUCUCAAGGGACCACUGUAUAAAUUCCAGUUUAUGCUAUUACCAAGUUACUACUAAGGCGAAAUUCCUUAAGAACCUUGACCAGAUCCCCCUUAAUCACUUCCAAACUGCACUUCAAGAAAGUGAUGAAAAAUGAUCAAGUCCAAGAAGUCUCCACUUAAAGUUUAUUCAUAAACUUAAGACUGCCCCAACCAUUCAGAGACUCUCUAGCCACCUGCUCUUUGAUGUUCUUAUUGAAAGCAGCAUGAAUCAACCAUAUAUUUUGAAAAUAAAAUGUAGGAUCCUAUCUCGU